AACUACCCCAUAUGUCUUUUGAGUGAAAUGGUAUUUAUCCGCCUAGAGAGAAGCUCGCGGCUGAUUAGCUUUGUUGGUAAGGUAAGAGCUUACCAAGGCGACGAUCAGUAUCUGGUUUGAGAGGACGAUCAGACACACUGGAACUGAGACACGGUCCAGACUCCUACGGGAGGCAGCAGUGGGGAAUUUUCCGCAAUGGGCGAAAGCCUGACGGAGCAAUACCGCGUGAGGGAAGACUGCCUAUGGGUUGUAAACCUCUUUUUUCAGGGAGGAAUAAAAUGACGUGUACCUGAAGAAUAAGCAUCGGCUAACUCCGUG
This 318-nucleotide ribosomal RNA is filed under the name uncultured bacterium. Its description in RNAcentral is "bacterial SSU rRNA". It matches the Rfam family "Bacterial small subunit ribosomal RNA", at positions 164 to 507 of the family's 1533-position model. The record is from RNAcentral.